RNAcentral lists this ribosomal RNA (495 nucleotides) under uncultured bacterium. Its description in RNAcentral is "partial 16S ribosomal RNA". It matches the Rfam family "Bacterial small subunit ribosomal RNA", at positions 28 to 507 of the family's 1533-position model. The record is from RNAcentral.
GACGAACGCUGGCGGCGUGCCUAAUACAUGCAAGUAGAACGCUGAAGGAGGAGCUUGCUUCUCUGGAUGAGUUGCGAACGGGUGAGUAACGCGUAGGUAACCUGCCUGGUAGCGGGGGAUAACUAUUGGAAACGAUAGCUAAUACCGCAUAAGAGUAGAUGUCGCAUGACAUUUGCUUAAAAGGUGCAAUUGCAUCACUACCAGAUGGACCUGCGUUGUAUUAGCUAGUUGGUGAGGUAACGGCUCACCAAGGCAACGAUACAUAGCCGACCUGAGAGGGUGAUCGGCCACACUGGGACUGAGACACGGCCCGGACUCCUACGGGAGGCAGCAGUAGGGAAUCUUCGGCAAUGGACGGAAGUCUGACCGAGCAACGCCGCGUGAGUGAAGAAGGUUGUCGGAUCGUAAAGCUCUGUUGUAAGAGAAGAACGAGUGUGAGAGUGGAAAGUUCACACUGUGACGGUAUCUUACCAGAAAGGGACGGCUAACUACGUG